Molecule: unclassified non-coding RNA, 253 nt
Filed under: uncultured Pseudobdellovibrionaceae bacterium
Lineage: Bacteria; Pseudomonadati; Bdellovibrionota; Bdellovibrionia; Bdellovibrionales; Pseudobdellovibrionaceae
Description: uncultured Bdellovibrionaceae bacterium contains 16S-23S intergenic spacer region
Rfam family: Bacterial small subunit ribosomal RNA
Source: RNAcentral
UACGAGGGGUCCAAGCGUUGUUCGGAAUUACUGGGCGUAAAGCGGGUGUAGGCGGAAUCGUCAGUCAGAAGUGAAAGCCCUGGGCUCAACCCAGGAAGUGCUUUUGAUACUGCGAUUCUUGAGUGUGGGAGAGGAUAGUAGAAUUCCUGGUGUAGUGGUGAAAUACGUAGAUAUCAGGAGGAACACCGGUGGCGAAGGCGGCUAUCUGGCCCAACACUGACGCUCAGACCCGAAAGCGUGGGUAGCAAACAGG